UACGGGAGGCAGCAGUGGGGAAUUUUGGACAAUGGGGGGCAACCCUGAUCCAGCAAUGCCGCGUGAGUGAAGAAGGCCUUCGGGUUGUAAAGCUCUUUUGUCAGGGAAGAAACGGGGAUUCCUAAUACGAGUCUCUAAUGACGGUACCUGAAGAAUAAGCACCGGCUAACUACGUGCCAGCAGCCGCGGUAAUACGUAGGGUGCAAGCGUUAAUCGGAAUUACUGGGCGUAAAGCGUGCGCAGGCGGUUGUGUAAGACAGGUGUGAAAUCCCCGGGCUUAACCUGGGAAUGGCAUUUGUGACUGCACGGCUAGAGUGUGUCAGAGGGGGGUAGAAUUCCACGUGUAGCAGUGAAAUGCGUAGAGAUGUGGAGGAAUACCGAUGGCGAAGGCAGCCCCCUGGGAUAACACUGACGCUCAUGCACGAAAGCGUGGGGAGCAAACAGGAUUAGAUACCCUGGUAGUCCACGCCCUAAACGAUGUCUACUAGUUGUCGGGUCUUAAUUGACUUGGUAACGCAGCUAACGCGUGAAGUAGACCGCCUGGGGAGUACGGUCGCAAGAUUAAAACUCAAAGGAAUUGACGGGGACCCGCACAAGCGGUGGAUGAUGUGGAUUAAUUCGAUGCAACGCGAAAAACCUUACCUACCCUUGACAUGUACAGAAUCCCGAAGAGAUUUGGGAGUGUUCGAAAGAAAACUGUAACACAGGUGCUGCA
This 715-nucleotide ribosomal RNA is filed under the name Collimonas sp. Its description in RNAcentral is "bacterial SSU rRNA". It matches the Rfam family "Bacterial small subunit ribosomal RNA", at positions 340 to 1045 of the family's 1533-position model. Lineage: Bacteria; Pseudomonadati; Pseudomonadota; Betaproteobacteria; Burkholderiales; Oxalobacteraceae. The record is from RNAcentral.